GAUGAACGCUGGCGGCGUGCCUAAUACAUGCAAGUCGAGCGAACAGACGAGGAGCUUGCUCCUCUGACGUUAGCGGUGGACGGGUGAGUAACACGUGGAUAACCUACCUAUAAGACUGGGAUAACUUCGGGAAACCGGAGCUAAUACCGGAUAACAUGUUGAACCGCAUGGUUCAACAGUGAAAGACGGUCUUGCUGUCACUUAUAGAUGGAUCCGCGCCGCAUUAGCUAGUUGGUAAGGUAACGGCUUACCAAGGCAACGAUGCGUAGCCGACCUGAGAGGGUGAUCGGCCACACUGGAACUGAGACACGGUCCAGACUCCUACGGGAGGCAGCAGUAGGGAAUCUUCCGCAAUGGGCGAAAGCCUGACGGAGCAACGCCGCGUGAGUGAAGAAGGUCUUCGGAUCGUAAAACUCUGUUAUUAGGGAAGAACAAAUGUGUAAGUAACUAUGCACGUCUUGACGGUACCUAAUCAGAAAGCCACGGCUAACUACGUG
This 497-nucleotide ribosomal RNA is filed under the name uncultured bacterium. Its description in RNAcentral is "partial 16S ribosomal RNA". It matches the Rfam family "Bacterial small subunit ribosomal RNA", at positions 28 to 507 of the family's 1533-position model. The record is from RNAcentral.